CUCACAAUACAAGUAUCAUAAAAUAACCUAUUGCACUGACCCACGAUACAAGUUUCUUAAAUAACCUAUUAGCACGAUACAAGUAACAUAAAAUAACCUAUUGAACCGAGCCAUUGACGUGAAAAGAAUCAAACCAAACCAUUGACAUGAAAAAAUGAUGGUUCAACCAAUGCUCACGAUACAAGUAAACAUAAAAUAACCUAUUGAACCGAACUAUUGACAUGAAAAGAAUCAAAUAACCUGUUGAACCAAACCAUUAACAUGAAAAGAAUCAUGAACCAUAGAUAGGAAAAGAUGAUGGUCCAAUGACAACCUAACAUCUAGUGGCACGACUUAGCCGGAACUGGUCUAUGUGAACGCACAACAAGGCCACUAAUGGCACGACUUAUAUGUGAAUGCACAACAAGGCCAUUACCGCGCGACAUGAAAAGAUGAUGGUCCAACCAAUGACAACCUGACAUCUAGUGGCACGACUUAGCCAGAACUGGUCUAUGUGAACACGCAACAACGCCGUUCACGCGGGAGCGCUGCUCUGUUAAGCCAGCCCAGGAGUACACACCCCAACUCCCAAUGUCACCUCCUUCAGGAAGUGUGACGGUCUGAGUCUUAUUACACAUGUCAGUCUUAAGUCUUAUGUCUUACUACAUGUCACAGCUCCUUCAGGGAGUAACUGUCUGAGUAUUAUUACAGCUGCAAUAAUACUAAUUUAGUUCCCAAGCCAAAUCAACACACUAAUUGUCAUCAAUUGGUUGAUCAUUUUGGUUGUCCCAAUCAUCUUAUUGCUCCCACUUGGGUUACAAGCUUAAGUUACUAAGCUCAGCAGCGUGUGGUGUUUGGUUGAGUUCUUUUAAACUGGAUGUGUUGGUGUUCUGCCAAUGAUGUGGGACAAGAAAUUGAUUAGUGCCUAACAAAGCCAAGUGAAUCUCGGCGGCUUUGUGGAUCGUGGUGAUGGACCAUGUGGAACUUAGUUCGAGGGGGAGAUUGUUGGGUGUGGGUAGUGUAAAGUGCAGUAAACCUUGGAAAUUGACUGGUGGAUCGUGGUGAUGGGCCGUGUGGAACUUAGUUCGAGGGCAAGAGGACAAAGUGUUCGAGAUGAGUUGUAAAAUACUUGUAGUUACACUCACCGUCAAAUUAUGUUCUAUGUUGAUCGGAUUAUUCAAGAAUAUUGACGGAUGCGUGUCAGAUCCUCCAAAAAUAGUGUGUAAUUUUGAAGAAUCUGACAUAGUGCGGCAACAUUUUUGGAGAGUCUAAGCAACUUUGAUUAUGUGUCCCAUUCAAUUCUUUGGGAGAAUUUAGUGUCAGUAGAUAAUAUUAGAUCAAUUCGAGAAAAUAUGUAUGUAAAAUUGUAAAAUAUCUAGUUUGAUGUAGAGACCAUAGAUUUAUGUGUACCAUAUAAAUGUUUGGUAUGAAGGAAAAUAUUUUUCAAUUUUUCAUGUUCAGUUGGUCAAAGUUUUCAUCGUCCCCACCUCCCCAAUGUCUAGAAAGUCUCAUUAAAGUCCAAUAUGCGUACUCAUCUUAAAAAUGAUAGGGUGGAAUGAAACUAUUAAAACGAUGAUGAUCCAACCAGUGACAACUCGACCUUUAGUGGCGAUUUGGUCGGGUCUUCAUCAUGAGUCGCGGAGCCCCAAACCCCUAGCCCAAUGUAUGGAGAGUCUACUUAUAGUCCAAUGUGAGUGCUCAUCUUAAAAUGAUAUGGUUGGGGUACGAAACUACUAAAAAAAUGACAUCUAAUGGCGCGACUUAGCCGCAUUGAACCCAACCAUUGACGCGUGAAAAGAUGGUGGAUCAUCCAAUUGACAAAACAUCUUGUGGCACAACUUGGCCCGAACUGGUGUUAUUUGAUAUCACAAGCAGCCCAUCUGGCAGGAAGCACGAUACAAGUUUCAUAAGAUGACCCAUCGAACCGAACCAUUAACAUGAAAAACGAUGGUCCAACCAAUGACAUCUAAUGUCGCGACUUAGCCAGUUCAAACCAUUCACAUGAAAAUGACGAAAUCAUUGACAUGAAAAGACUUCGCCGUAUUGAACCAAAUCAUCGGGCAUGAAAAGAUGAUAGUCACCGUAUUGAAUCGAACCAUUGACAUGAAAAGAUGAUGGUUCAACCUGACAUCUUAGCGGCACGACUUAGCCGGAACUGGUCUAUGUGAAUGUUGAACCAUUCACGAUGGAGCUCUGUUAAAAGCCAAGCCAAGCCCAGGAGGCGGCUUGGGCAUGCAUUCACACACACCCAUCCUGCCUGCUCCCCCGCUCAAUGUCAACUCAAGGACCGACACGUUCUUGCUGAAAGUCAUUCCAAAUAGUUGGGCAUUCUGGUUGUCCCUAUCAUCUUAGGGUAACUCCUUGAGUUACAUGCUUAAGUUACUAAGCCAAGCACUUUUCUAUUGUUUGGUUGAGUUCUUUUAAACUGGAUGUGUUGGUGUUCUGCCAACGAUGUGGGACAAGGAAUUAAUUACUGCCAAAGCCAAGGGCACACAAGUGAAUCUCGGUGGCUUCGUGGAUCGUGGUGAUGGAUCACGUGGAACUUAGUUCGAGGGGUAGAUUGUCGGGUGUGGGUAGCGCAAAGUGCAGUGAAUCUUGGAAAUUGACUGGUGGAUCGUGGUGAUGGGCCGUGUGGAACUUAGUUCGAGGGCAAGAGGACAAAGUGUUUGAGUUGAGUUGCAAAAUACUUGUAGUUAAACUCACAGUCAAAUUAUGUUCUAUGUUUGAUCGGACUAUUCAAGAAUGUCGAUGGAUGCGUGUUAGAUCCUCCAAAAGUAGUGUGUAAUUUUGAAGAAUCUAACAUAGUGCGACAACAUUUUUGAUGAGUCUGAGCAACUUAGAUUAUGUGUGUCAUUCAAUUCUUUAGGAGAAUUUGGUGUCAGUAGAUAAUAUUAGAUCAAUUCUAGAAAGUAUGUACGUAAAAUUGUAAAAUAUUUAGUUUGAUGGAGAGACCAUAGAUUCAUGUGUACCACAAGUUUUAGAGUAAAUUUGCCCAUGUUUGAUAUGGAGGAAAAUAUUUUUCGAUUUUUCAUUGUUCAGUUGGUCAAAGUUUUCAUCGUCCCCACCUCCCCAAUGUCUAGGAAGUCGUACUCAUCUUAAAACGAUGAUGGAUAUGGAUACACAUACAACACAACUCGACCUUUAGUGGCUCUUUGCUCGGGCCUUCUUCAUGAGUCGCGGAGCCCCAAACCCCUAGCCCAAUGUCUCUAGAGUCUAGUAAAAGUCCAAUUUGAGUGCUCAUCCACUCAUCCUCACAAUCUCUCCCACCCCUUCGGCUCGAGAUGUGUAUCACCCCAAGCAGAACAACCAAAUCAACUAAGCUCAGCAGCAUGCUUGGUCUAGUUGAACUUAUAUAAACAUGAUGUAUUAGUCUUCAGUCAUCGAUGUGUGCUAGCAAACAUUUGUUGCAUGUGAAAAACUUUGUACUCUCUCAAUCACAUCAUUGCAAUAGAGGGAGUAGUAAUUAAGGGUGUGUUCGAUAUGGAGGAAAAUAUUUUUUGAAUGAUGUUUUUUUUUUAAUUUUCUCACGUUUGGUUGGUCAAACAUAGCUGAAAGAGAAAGCCAUGGUACAAUCAUUAUACUAGAAUUUUCUUCUUACCAACUAUUGACUCUCACCAAAAGUACUGUUAAACUCUUUAGAGCUAGUUUGUUUCGGAAAUAAAUUAUCUCGGGAUUAAUUAUCUCGAGUUUAUUUCAAAAUUGUUAUUUCACAGAAAUAAUAUUAUAAUUUCGAGAUUUAUAUGUUGAUGUUGUUCUUGUUGUAAGCAUGAAAUAAGUUCAUCCUAAAAUUAAUCUCGAUAGUCUUGGUCUUUAGUAAACACUCUUUUUUUAAACACCAAAAACCAAUAAGUUUACUUUUUUUAUCAAAUUCUUUUUUCAGUUUCAGUUUUUGCUGCUACAGGAAGUUACAAAAGUGGCAUAUUCUGCUAAGAUUCUUGGAAUAUUCCGGUGACUCAGAUCAGAUUCUGGUGGAAAUUUGUGAUAUCUGGCCACCAUUUUAGAUUCUUUAAGUUUUAUUGGGGUGUAAGUUUGGGGGGGGGGGGGGGGUUAAAGAAGGUUGUGUGAUUGUUUAAAAAUCUAAUCUUUAAAGAAAAUGGGGUCUAAGUAGAGUGUUUGGGGGUGAGGGGAUAAAGAAGGUUGUGGUUGUAUAAAAAUCUAAUCUUUAUGGGGAAAUUUGAUGUGAUUUUGGGAAAAUGAUGUAAUGUAUAGUGAAGAUAGAUUCCAUGGGUUCUUGCCAGAGUGUUGAAGAAGAUAUAGCAGAAAAAAGACCACAGAGUAAACCAGGUAUUGUCUUUUUCUUGAGGGUGGGGGNNNNNNNNNNNNNNNNGGUGGUCGUGUGGGUGCAGGUACAGUGGUGUAGUAUUGCUCAUGUAGUUUCCUUGUCAUUCGAUUUGUGUUACUAUCUGUUGUUUCUUGUACUUUAGUUAUCCUAUUAUUUUGCUGUAGUUAUUGUUCAAAAUGCAUGGUAUUGCUCCUGUACCUUCCUUUGUCCUUUGGUUUGUGUUACUAUAUGUUAUUUCUUAUACUUCGUUUAUUGUAUUAUUUUGCUCUAGUUACAGUUUAGAAUGCUUUGUUAUUUGUUUCGCUAUCCGUCCAUACUUGUAGCGGUAGUAUUGCUACUGAAAUGGGGUCUAAGUAGAGUGUUUCUGGGGGUGGGGGUGGGGGGUAUAAAAGUAUAAUCUUAAGGGAAGUUUGAUGUGAUUUUGGGAAAAUGAUGGAUUGUUACAAUGUGAAUGUAUUGUGCUAGGAUAGAAGGUUAGUAGGCAGUAGUCAGGGGAGGAGCUACCCUUCAAGUAGGGGUUCAUCCCUCUUCAUUGGAAAUUAUGUUAUAUAUACAUAGUUAAAAUUAUUUUUAUGUAUAUAUAGUAGAUGUUGAACCACUUUGAUUAGUUCGUAUGUUCGCUAAUGAACCCCCUUAGUGAAAAUCCUAGCUCCGCCACUGGCAGUAAGUAGUGUGUAGUCUCAUUAUCUGUCCAUGCUAGUAGGCGUAGUAUCGCUCAUUAUUGUGUCCUUGUUUGUGUCACUAUUUGUUGUUUCUAGUACUUCGAUUAUCGUGUUAUUUUGCUGUAGUGAAUGUUUAGAAUGCUUUGUUAUGCUUCCUACCUCUUUUUCUGGAUUGCUUUGGAUUGUUUUCAUGAAGCCGAGGGUAUAUUGCAAACAGUCUCUCUACCUCUAAGGUAGGGGUAAGGUCAACGUACACGCUAUCCUCGCUAGACAACACGUUGUGAAACUACACUGGGUAUGUUGUUGUAAUCGUCUUGCUUUCAGCAAGAUCACUUUUCUUAGACAUUUUAGGCUUGCAGAUUCUAUAAGUGUAACAAAUCUACAGCUUUGAUUAGUGUUAUCAAAGGUGAAAAAUGCAAGAAGCUCUAAGGUCCAUUGGAGCUUUAAGCGCAAACAAAGUGUAGGCUUUAAUGAAGACAGACACAAAGUAAAAAAAUACAAAUAUGUUAAGUGUAGUUCAAGACUAAUAAUUAUAAGCAUAGAUAACAAACAUAUGGACAAAGAAACUGAAAAGACAAAGUGAAAUGUCAAUUGUUCAGUCUCGUCUCUUUAGGAAAACUAUGCCUUAGAGUAUUGAUGACGACACUGAAGCGCUUUCUAUACAGGUGAAGCACACAACCACAUGUUUUGUGCAUCGAUUUAGGGCUUAAGCGCGCCUUUGAUAACACUGCUUCUGAAACAUAGGAUCUCCAAAUGUAACAUAAUUGAAUAUGCCAACCGAGGUUGUGUUGUUUUAUAUUUUGAUUCGUUUACUCUCAGUUGGCGAAGGAGUUGGUGCAUAUCCUACCAAGAGAAAUCCUUUAAUUCAACCGAAGUUAAAUACGCUUGAAGGGCAUGACUCUAGACGUAGAAGUAGCAUCGGGAUAAUACCUGAAACUGUCGAGGACCUGCAGCAGAAUCCAGGGAUUAGUGAUCUGGAUAUUUUCAAGUACGAAGAAAUGAAAUUGGCUACGAAGCACUUUCGAAGGGAUCAGGUUCUCGGAGAGGGUGGAUUUGGCAUCGUCUACAAGGGAGUUAUAGAUGAACAAGUCAGGCGGGGAUACAAGACCACUUACGUUGCCAUUAAGGAGCUUGAUCCGGAAGGUCUUCAGGGCGAUAGAGAAUGGCUGGUAGGUGCUUUGGCUUCUUGUCUGUCGACACAUUAGAUUGUUUGAUUAUCUGAAAUCCUGUUUCAUGCAUCGGUAUAGUUUAGUUUUCACUUGCAAGAGUCACCCACUGGCCACCAUCUCUACGUUUUGGCACCAUAUCCUCCUCUAAUCAACUGUUCUCCAAGCAAGCAAUGAAGGAACGAUGGCAAAAAGAGUAGCAAAUACAUGCUUGUCAAGAACACGCAAUGCCUGAUAUGCGUUAAUAAAACAAGAUAGAUUCACCAAUUCUAGGGGCAGAUUUCUCAAAUUUCAUUUUAGCCUAUGCUUCCAUCAAAUUUUGCUGUGAUUUAGCGCCGUAUGACCAGAUAUUUGAAUGGUUUUCAGCCUUACGAUGAUGCUGUAUAAUGGAAAUUAAUCAUGUAAAAUAUGCACAGCGCUUCACUUGCCAAUGGCCGUAUACUGAUUGUCUAGUUACUUUACGUGUAAUAUGUUGCAAGAUACUCCGGUGAAUUUUACAUGCUGAUCAACGUUUUCCUUGUCCUUUUCAACAUGAAGUAAAAGUCGAAAACGUUUAUAUAAAAUAUGUAAAUUUCUUGUACUAAUGGAAACUUAACUGGGACAUAACAUCACCUCAUGUUGACCUGGUUUCAUUUGAGCGGUAAGCAUUCUUUUGGGAACUGUUGAAAAGAGUACAUGUAAAGGGCGUUAUGGAUGGGCGGACGCUUUUGUUAUUCUGAAGGAAGUUUGUUUUCUGAACCCAAUUUAUACACGAAAAGGUUGUCUUCUGACCGGAUAUGCUAGGGAAGUUGCAAAACUAUGUUGCUCGUCCUUGCUUUUUCAGGCGGAGAUGAACUAUUUGGGGCAGCUUCGACAUCCAAAUCUGGUGAAGCUUAUCGGAUAUUGCUGUGAGGACGAACAUAGACUGUUGGUUUAUGAGUAUAUGGCAUCUGGCAGCCUGGAGAAGCACCUUUUUCCAAGUGAGUACUUAAUAUCAAUGCGAGUUCAUGUUGGUAAAGGUGAAACUAUUCUCUAUUCGCGUAAAAGUAAAUGAAAUGAUAACUAGAACGUAAGAAGUGAUGCAAGUUAUGGGAAUUAGCUUUUUUCUAUCUCAUUGACGUCUUGUACUUUAGGAAUGUGUGCUACUCUAACAUGGUCGAGGAGGAUGAAAGUUGCGUUGGAUGCUGCUAGAGGUCUUGCUUUUCUUCACGGAGCAGAAAUGCCAGUAAUAUAUAGGGACUUCAAGACCUCAAACAUUUUGUUAGACGCGGUGAGAUGUUGUUUUGCUGAUGUACAUUGUUUCCUUUGAAGUGCUCGUGAAACUUUUAUAUAAGUUUCAAUGUCCAUCUUUGUUUGGAUUUGGAUCUGCAGGACUUCAAUGCAAAGCUUUCCGACUUUGGACUGGCAAAAGAUGGGCCAAUCGGAGAUCAGACUCACGUAUCAACUCGUGUUCUGGGUACUUAUGGUUACGCCGCUCCAGAAUAUGUCAUGACUGGUGAGUCUAACAGCACCUUGUCCUACUCUUAAACUGUCUAUAUCCCACGCUUUGCCAUCCGUUUACUAACAAAAACCGCGUAUGAUGUACCAACACGCCAAAGAUUUGGUGCCUUCUGUAUAAUCCUCUAUGCAUAUCGCUUAUGAUUCUUCGGUUUACUGUUCUGUUUAUCGAUCAUUCUUGCUGCUCCACGCUGUAAACUAAGUUGCAAAGUUGAAUCAUUCAGGACAUUUGACAGCAAGAAGCGACGUCUAUGCUUUUGGUGUUGUUUUGCUUGAGAUGCUCAUCGGAAGGAGAGCAAUCGACAAGACUAGGCCAAGCCGGGAAUACAACCUUGUAGAGUGGGCACGUCCGCUCCUGACUCAUGACAAGAAACUCUUUAAGAUACUCGACCCUAGACUCGAAGGACAGUACUCCUCCAAAAUCGUCGUAAAGGUUGCUAGUCUUGCCUAUCAAUGCCUUAGCCAAAACCCAAAAGGGAGGCCUCUUAUGAGUCAAGUAGUUGAAAUUCUUGAAGCCCUUCAACCACAAGGCAAAGAUAUGAUUUCUCUAUAAUAGUCGUCCUCUAUAACAACAUUUUACUGUAACAACAAUGUCUUUUUAUGGAACCGAUCUUUCAUGUUAUGUUAUAUUAUAUGUUACGCACGGCAUGUGGAACAAACGACGUUGUUAUGGAGAUGUUUGUUUGACUAUGCAUAUUGUUACUUUUCUCAUUCCUUCAUCUAAGGGAUUGUAAUCUUGGAAGACAUAAUGUCAUGUAUCUAUUUUAGUUUCUUGUCUAGCUCUCGUUCAUAGCUUUGCUAUAGAUGAUACGUGAGGAAUCUUGUUAUAGCGGUUCUUACUUCUAAUGACCGGCAAAUCUGCAGAUGAUACGUGAGGAAUCUUGUUAUAGCAGUUGUUCCUUCUAAUGACCGGCAUCUCUACAGAUACGUGAGGAAUCUUGUUAUAGCGUUCUUCCUUCUAAUGACCGGCAUAUCUACAGAUGAUACGUGAGGAAUCUUGUUAUAGCAGUUCUUCCUUCUAAUGACCGGCAUAUCUACAGAUGAUACGUGAGAAAUUUGUUAAAGCGGUUCUUCAAAUGACCAGCAUAUCUACAGAUGAUACGUGAGGAAUAUUGUAUAGCGGUUCUUCCUUCUAAUGAUUGGCAUAUCUACAGAUGAUACGUGAGGAAUCUUGUUAUAGCAGUUUUUUCUUCUAAUGACCGGCAUAUCUAUGAUUCUUUUCACUUUAGGAAUUACUACUUAUCUUUGAUGUCCAAUUACUCUUCUAUGGUUCCAAUGUUUGGUUGGUCAAAAUAUUACGUCCUUGCUAUGAAAAUAAGUUCUUUAAAAUAUUUGUAAAAUGACUUUGUUUGUCGAACUAAGGAAAACAAACUUCAUAACUGACAUUCAACACCGUUGUGUUUGCUCUGAUAUAAAAUCUCUUGGGGAUAAUAUUUUCUGCUUACUCGUUUAACAUCUCAAAAUUAAAUAAGAAAAUCACUUAUUUUUCAAAACAAAUUUAUAUUUAUUUAGAAGGGCCAAAAAAGUCAAUGGGUUGAUAUAGAGCUUAUCCAUAAACUUUGAUUGAAAUAUAUUACAUUAAAAAAGAAAAAUUAUUGUAUUUGGAAGUAUUAACUAGUACCCAAUUUUCUUGGCACACUACCAUCACAUCAAAGAUUAUAUAAUUGAACAUAAUUAAUUAAUUAACCUUAUCAUAGCUAGCACAAUAAUUAAUUAGAUGGAUUGAGACAAAAUAGAAAUAUUAAUACAUGCAUAAAAAUCACCUUCUUUUUUUUUUUAGUUUUUUAGCCGAGCCAUCUGAUGUAGUGAGCGCAUUUUUCUUAUCUCCUAAUAUUUCGAAUUAAAAAUAUUUUUCGCCAGACUUUAAAUUUCUAAUUUCUAUAUAACUUUGUGGUAGGUAAAUACACCUGUUGUUUUUCGUGAUAAGUAUUAAAUACCAAAUAUUUAUUUAUAAUUAAUAAACUUAAAAUUAAAACAAUUAUAAAAACGUUAAAAGAAAGUGAUGGUACAAUUAAGAUAUGUCAAUUGGUAAAGCUAUCAAUAUAAAAGUGGUCACAAAACCAUCAAAGCAGUUCACUGGUUUUUAUCAUAUAUUAAAUAAUUAAAUAUCAAUUAAUUAAUUAAUUAGCUAGUUAUUAUUAUCGUUGACUAAUAGAUUAUUAUAUUUUUGUAAAAUUAUGUGUAUUUGAAAAUUUAUAAUUGAAUGUAACUAUAAGUAUUUAUUUAUAAAAGAAACAUAGAGAUAUCAUAUAUGCGAUUUAUUAAUGCAAUGACUUCGAUUAUUCUGAUACAUUAUUUAUGAACUAUAAUUAUAUUGAUGAGACUAUUCCAUCCUUAGAGGUUUCGGGUGCAAGCUUUGGGUAUGGAGAAAAUUUUGUUGCGAGCGUCACCCCCAGAAUGAGUCAUGCAGGAUGCGAUUUGAAUUAGUCGAGGCUCCAAUGCAGGUAUCAAACACCGAGCGAAAAAUAUGAAAAAAGUUAUUAUAAUACGGGGAAUAGAAUCCUUAAAAUAAUAUCAGAUUAUGGUCCGACUCUUUUUCAAACUCUACCCAUAAGGAAAACUUAAUACACUAAAUGUCCUUUUAAAAUAUUAGCUGGACUUGCUUUAGAACCACUCUAUUUUCCACUUUCACCCAUGCAAUAUUUGAUAAUGAAUAUUAAUUAUUUUACUUGAAAUACUUCUUAAUUAAAUCAAACUUUAAAUUUUUUUAUUUCAAAUUUGUAUAUGUAUAAAUUAUAGAACACUUAUAACAAUUAGCAAAGAAUAGAAACACUAUAAAUUAAAGUCGUGUAAUUUGAAUCGAGGUGAAGUUAGAAUUUUGAGAUUAUAAAUCUUAAAAUUUAAAAAUGACACGAUUUUAUCGAUUAGACGAACGUCUAGCGCGACCCCUGCAUCUAACUCAUAUACAAUUAAAUGACGACGUACAAUCAUAGGUGCCGCGAAAACUCUGACUUUAUUCUCACAAAUUAUGACAUAGACUCGAUCACUUCUAGAUUAUUGAGUAUUAAAAUAAAUAUUAACAUAUAAUAUAAUUUAUUCAAAUUAAUUUGAAAUUGAGACAUAAUAAUUGUUACUUAUGUAUGAAUUAAAUUGUCAAUAUGCAAUCAUAUCAAAAUAGGAAAAACAUCUCUUUCAAUAACCAAAUAAAAAACUUUUACACUUUUUUCUUUUUCACAUGAAACAAGAUAUUUUAGCUGACGAUAAAUAUAAUACUGUGAUAUAUUUAUAUUCUUGAUGUUAAAUCAUUGAUGUUCCCUCAAAAUUAUGAAAAUGAUGUUUGCCGUAAUUAUUGCAUGUCAAAAAUUGGAAAAAUAAUUUAUGAUUUAUGAUUUAUUUCACUUACAUAAUAAUUAAUAAUUAGGUAACGUCAAUAUCCUAUUUAUAUGGUGAAACUCAAGCAGAAGCGAAGCCAAGAUUAGAAGGUGCCUUCGUCAAGGAAGGAGCAACAAAGAAACUUUUCGAUGAAUCGAGAAUUUUGCUAGUUUUUAUUUUUUGUCAAUUCUAUUUCUUGCAACGACUUCCUAUAAGGGGGUCUUUGAAUAACUGGUAAAAUUAUUAUCUGUGAUCCGAAGAUUAAGUACUCAAGACUUCAAGCCAUAAGACCCCCCACCCAAACCCCAACAGAAAAUGUAAGCCGCAGAAGCGGAGUCAGAAUUUGACAUCUAAGGGUUCUAAUAUUAAGACCGAACAACGAUCUCGAGCUAAAAAGAUUAAGUACUCAAGACUUCAAGCCAUAGAAACACCCCCCAAACAGAAAAUGUCAGGCAGAGGCAAAGUCAGAAUUUGACGUUUGGGGAUUCUAAUACUAAGACGAUUCGAUGCGUCACAAAUAGAAUGGAUUGGACUAUACGCUGACCCACGUUAAAAGCUUUCUUCUCUUAUGAAAUUUUGAUGCACAAUUCAGACUAGCGAGUAUCUGUUUAAUUUACUUAAUACACUCACAAGCGUUCGCAUCGCAACGAUCUCGAGCGAAAAAGGAUAAACAUUGGCAAGGGCGAGGUUCGAACCCAUAUCCCCACACAAUGAAAAGGCUUUUCCGCCUUUCUCCUGACCAUUGAGACAUCAUCUUAAUAUUUAUUGAUUUUUUUAAUACAAACACAGAAUCUAUGAAAAAGUUACUGAUUCGUUCGAACCUCACAAUAUACACUAACUCCGUCCCUGAUGUAAGAUAUCAUGUCAGAGAAUAUUAUAAUAUAUGAUCAAAAAAUUAAAAAAGUUGACUAUAAUGUUCAAAUAGCCUAAAAUGUAGGACUUAAAAUUAGGAAGAAUUUGCUAAAUUCCAUAACAUGUGGCAAGCAAUAAAAGUAAGGUAGUUUUGCCUCCCCCGCCCUCCCAAUAGCCCAUAGAUUUUCUCAUUUUAGUUUGUUGAAAAUGACUACACAUACUUCAAAUGUACAAUUGGUUUACAUACUUCCACCAAAUAAAAUCUAGAGAAAAUGAUUUGUUUCUGCUCUGAAAUAUAUACAAAAUUAUUGAGAAAUAUUCAAAUUUUAGAGUCCUAUUAUUCCUGAACUAAGUAAAAUUAUAUUUUUAAUAAUUUUAAUGUCUACAUGGUACAUCAGUGAAUCAACACACUGAAGGUCCACGAAGGCACAAGUAUGUGCCACAUAGGCGCUAAGGUUGCAAAAAAUACGGUUUUAGUUAGUUCGGGGUAAUAGUACCCUCCUAAAGUUCGAAUGUGUCUCAGCAAUUUCGUGUAUAGUUCAGGGUGGAAAUACUGCGUUUUUCCUAAAAUUUAAGAAAAAAAGUUUGAAAUAUAUUUAAACUUUGACAAAAUUUAUUGUAAUAAACCUUAAUUUUGCGGGGAUCCUAUGACCCUCCUAAAUUAUUUUUACUGUAUUCCUGUGACGUAUAUUUGUUUAGUUGAACCACUUCAGACCCCUUACACUCUCAGUCUGCGGGUAUUCACGCAGUGGUCCAGCUGAAAAAUAUAUGCCACAGAAAUACGGUAAAAAAAAUCUAGGAGGGUCAUAGAAUCCCCGCAAAAUUAAGGUUUAUUACAACAAAUUUCGUCAAAAUUUACAUAUAUUUCAAACUUUUUUCCUUAAAUUUAAGUUAUUAAUUCUUGUGUUCAUUUUUUUUAUAAUCGUUGUGUCUGGAUCAGUUUUUGCGUAUCUCGAUAAAAUUUAUGGAAUAUCUGUUAUCUCCCACCAGCAAUAUAUACUAGGUAACCCUGUCCAUAAAGGUUAGGACAGAUGAAAAGAAUCACCUAGUAUAUUUUUUCCUUCGCUGGGAGCUCUUCCGUUUAUUUUUACUAGUCGCGCUUCUCUUUUCAACAACCAAAUUAUGUGAACUUUAAUCAUAAUUUAAGAUGUCUAUUAAUACGAGAAGGAUUACAAUUUAUAAUACUUUUUGUAUCAUUUUUGAACAAUUAACUUUUAAAUUUAAAAUAUUAAAUUAAUUUAAUUCAAUUUAAUUUUGAAAAUUAGUCUGAUUGACUCUAGUCAGUAAAGUAAAAUGAAACUUGAGUAACCAAUUCAUGAAAUUAACUCAUAUUUAUUAUAUAGAAAACUUGAAUAUCAUUUAUGUAUGUGAUCUAAUAUUAUAAGUGUUUUCUUAUAACAACACUUGGAGAGAUAUUAUUUCAUCAAUCGAAUCACGUGCAUCUAACAUGUCGAACGCUUAUAAACAUGUCGCAUUAACUUUUUCCAAAGUAUGAAUUAAAACUGUCUAGUAGAAAUGCUUUAUCACAUGUUGAGAUAAUUAAUUCAUAGUUCGAAUGUAAUGUUUACGAUAACAAAUUUAAAGAGUUAACGGUGUAUUUUUGCCAUUAUUUUUAAUUUCUUAGUAAGUCAAUUUUCAUUUGUCCAUUUUCCUACCUAAUUUGACUCCAACAAAUAUGACAAGAAGUUGAAUUUAUUGUUAAUAAUACUUAUUAAUUAGGUUUUAAUAAGGAUUAGAUAUAAAGUUACAUCCACCCACCUUACCAUACCAUUUUUUUAAUGUGAUAAUUAAUGUGAUUUUACAAAUUUGUGUGAUCUAGUGAUCAAUGACGUAAAAUAUAAAUAUUUUGUACCCUUUUGAAUUGUGGUCAAAGUUGCUACAACACACUCUAAUUUUACAGGGAUCCUGUUAGCUCCCCGAACUCAAUUAAACGUAUUUUUGUCACUCUUUUGUGCUGACGUGGCACCUUUUAUUACAUAAAAUGAGAUUCACGUUAAAGAUGUCACGUCAACUAAAAAGAUUGACAAAAAUACGCUAAAAUUUGGUUCAUGGAGGUAAUACGGACCCCGUGAAAUUAAAGUGUGUUGUAGCAAAUUUGGUCAUAGUUCAGGGAGGUACUAGAUUCUUUACUCGGACAAAAAAUCAAUAGUAACAACGUAACGAUACUAUAUCUCCGUGAAAUUUCAUAAAUAGGGCUUGAAGAGAAUUGUGCGUAUUCAAAUCUUACCGCUAUUUUUUGAGAUAAAAGAUUAUUUUCGAUAGACCUUUGACUCAAAAAAAGAUGUUAUUUUGUCUGGAAAUAAACUAUGGCUAGUUAACUAGAGUCGUACCUUGUGGUCGGAUCAUUUUUCGAACCUCACGCAUAAUGAAAGAUUUAAUAUACUGAACUAUUUUCUCGAUUUUUCUUUUAAUGGACUUUAUAUAUACAACGUGAAUUUAAAUUAAUCGAAUUUCAGACCGAACAGAAUUUCAGGUGCAAGACAAAAAAAGGAAAGUAGUAGUACAAUAAUAUACUACAUUAUUAUACUACAUUAUCCUAAAAUAGUAGUACGUGUCACAGUACAUCUUUAGUUCAAUUAAUUGGCAUUAUUUUAUUGUUUAAUUAAAUUAAAAAUAAAAUAAUUGGGAAAAAAUUUUUCUUUUAAAAAAAGGUAAUUCGAUAUAUUAAAGUUCUCGUUAUACGUGACGAUCGAGAAAGAAUUAAAUUAUAAAGAUUUAUUAAACGAAGUUUUACUCCAUAUAGUUGCAAGCGACUGUUUCACAACUUGAAUUCGUAACCUCCUGAUCAAGUAACAAUAAAAUAAUUUUAUAAGUUACUCUAAAAUUUCCCUUCCUGAGCACAAAAUAUAUACUUCAUUUAUUUAUUUUUAAAAUUAUAUUAUAAAAUAAAAUGAAUGAACAGAGAAGUAGCAAAGUGGAUAAAGUUUUUAGUUUUAUUAAAUUAAAUAAAUUGGGUCCACAGGAUUAGUGUCAAAUACAGAUGGGAAUAAAAGUGGUUUUGAUUUAAUUGUUUUUUUAAUCAAGUGGUUUCGAUUAAAAACUACUAUAAACAAGCAGCUGCCAAUUGUAAUAGGAAUUUAUAAUUAGACAUAUAAUUUAAUAAAACAUAUUGUUUUGAAAUUAUAAUCUUGGAUAUAUUAAUUGAUAUUUAUAUAAACACAUGUAUUAUAACGAGUUAACAACAACAAAAAUAACAUACAUAUCCAAUGAAAUCCCACAAGAUAUAAACAGAUGUAUUAAAAAAAAUAACUUUUAAAUAUGAAAAAUUAAUAAAAGAUUGUAAUAAAAAUAAAAGUCCAAAUUUAGACUAAGAAAUAUUAAAUUUAUUAUGAUAAUGAUGUUUAGAUCAGCUUGUAUUCCUUAAUUACUCUAUAAAGUUAAUAUCAUUUAUCAAUAUAGGUAACGUGUAACUCUGUUUAUUUAUAUUUGUUUGAUUGAUUUUUCAAAGUUUGCUUCUUUCGAAAUACUUUUCAAAAGAGUAUUUUAUAGUUCAAUUAAAUAAUUUAAAGAAUAUUCUUGUCUUGCAAUUUAUGUUUUACUAAGAUUUUUAAAAGUAAUUAGAGAUAAUCUACCUUUUUAACUUCUUAACAACAACAACAACAAUUAUUAUUAUUAUUAUUAUUAUUAUUAUUAUUAUUAUUAUUAUUAUUAUUAUUAUUAUUCAAAAGUAAUUACUUUUCAAUAUGUUGACCGAAUAAUCUAAUUAAAUUUUGUUUACUUUGACUUUUGACCAAUAUAAUCAGAUUUAUCAAAUAAUGUUUCUGUAUUUCAAAUAGAAUAUUACACACAUUGUUUGGAUUUAUUACCUAUUGAUUUAAUUGUGUUGUAAGUUUAAAAUUUAAAAUAAUAAAUAUUUUAAUUUUUACUAAUUUUAAUGUAGCAUAUGGUUAAUAAACUGUUAUGUAAUGAUCAGAAAAAUAUCAUUUUAUGUAACUAUCGAUUUAGUAUGAUUCUCGUUACUUUAAUUUCCCGCCAUUGGUUUGUCGUAAAUAUUUUAUCGUUUAACGUAUCUUUUAGGAUAGAUUCGUUAUAUCUUACUUUCUUUAUCGGCGUUUAUCCUUUAAGUUAUCAAUGUUUUAUAUUAUGUAAUAACGAAAAACGAUAUUUCUUAUUCAGAUAUUAUAUUCAUCAAAAUAACACAAUACGCUACUAUUAUCCAAAUAUUACAUAUUCAUUCUUGUUACCUAAUAAUAAUAUUUUAGCGUUUAACAUACCUUUUAUGAUAGCUCUACAUUAUAUCUUAUACGUUUAUCCUUUAAACUAUCGAUGUCUGAUGUAAUAUAAUAUUUACACAUUACAGACAAAAAAAUUCAUUUUAUGUAACUAUCGAUUUAGUAUGAUCAUGUGGUUACUUUGAUCUCUCCACCGCCCCUCGUCUUGUCAUCUAAUAACAAUAUUUUAGAGUUUAACGUAGCUUUUAUGAUAACUCUACAUUAUAUCUUAUACGUUUAUCCUUUAAACUAUCAAUGCCUGAUGUUAUGUAACACAAACAACGAUAUAAUCCCAACAUUAUAUUCAUUAAAAGAAAACAUCACGAUCAGUGUUGAAGUCAGUAUUUUCAUUGAGGGGGUUUAGAAGUAAAUAUACGAACUAAUCAAAGGGGUUCGUUCAGGGUGUUCAGAAGUAAAUAUACGAACUAAUCAAAGGGGUUCAACAUAUACUAUACAAGCAUAAAAAUAUUUUUAACCAUGUAAAAAUAGUAUAAAAAAAAUAUAAUUUUUCGUUGAAGAGGGUUCGAAUGAUCCUCUGGAGCAACGUAGCUCCGCCACUGAUCACGAUACAAUUUAUUCAAACAUUAUAUAUUUAUUGAAAUAACACAGUACGAUAUAAUACGAUACAUUAUUAAACAAUACAUAACCACCACCACCAAACUAAGUGUUAAUUUUUCUUACUGACGAAUCCAGAAGCCAUCAUUAAUUAGCAUAUUGUUUUGUAAUUAAUUAUUACUUAUUUAAAUCUUUCACCUAAUUAAUUGUAACACUUACAAUCUCCACUUUUUUGACUAUAUAAAGGUGUCCUCUACCUUUGCUUUCUUCAUCAUUCUCAAGCAAAAACUCUUUCAUUUGCUUCACUCAUUUCAUUUUUCUCUUUGCAUUUUCCUCUUUAAGGUAAAGUUACAUUUUUUUAAAAUUUAUUUUUUUAAUUUUUUUUUGUUUUUAAAUUUACUAGUUAAUUUUUUCAUGCAAAACAUAGUCAUUUUGUUUAGUGUUGAAUAAUGUUGAUCUCAUCUUUAAAGGGUGUUAAUGAUCUUUGAUUUUUAGUUGAGUUUUACUUGUACUACAACACCAUAAAUUUUUAGCAAUUUUUUUACCAAUUUUUUUGGUUUAGAUCAUGAGUUUUUUUUAUCAUUUGAUAAAAUAAAGCCAGAAAAAAGUUGUUUUUUGAUCUUUUAGCUAAAGAUUCCAACUUUUUUAGUUGUAGAAAGUGAUCAAGAAUUCUUUCACGAUGUGUAAAGAUGCCAUAUUGAGGUCUUCUUUUAGUUCACAUAUAUAGCUUUUUUGUCUUUAACUUUUUUAGUAGUAGAGAAUGAUCAUUGAUUAAGAUCAAGAACAAAGUAGAAGUGAUCUUGCUUGAAAAAAGUUUUGUUCUUGAUCACCCCCAAGUGGUGUAUAGAUAGUUCACAUAGUUUUUGUCACCCCCAAGGGGAGUCUAAGUUGCCUCCAUGUGAUCAGGAGGUCACGAGUUCAAGUCGUAGAAACAGCCUCUGGCAAAAAUGUAGGGUAAGACUGACGGCUUACAGUAGAUUCUUGUAGUCCGGUCCAUUCGUGGAGCCUGCACAUAUAGCGGAAACUUUAGUGCACCAGACUUUUUUUUAAGAAAAAAGUGAUCAAGAACAAAGUAGAAGUGAUCUUAGCUUGCUCGAAAAAGUUCUGUUCUUGAUCACCCCCAAGAAGUGUGUAGAUGAUAUUUUUGAGGUUUGUUUUUAGUUCACAUAGUUUUUGUCACCAACUUUUUUAGUAGUAGAAGGGGGGCCUAGUUGUCUUCAUGUGAUCAGGAGGUCACGAGUUCAAGUCGUGGAAACGGCCUCUGGCAGAAAUGCAGAGUAAGACUGACUGCGUAUAGUAGAUCCUUGUAGUCCGCUCCAUUCCUGGAACCUGCACGAAUAGCGGAAACUCAAGUACACCGAGAUGCUUUGUUUUUUUUCUUAAAGUAAUCAAGAACAAAGCAGAAGUGAUCUUUCUUGAAAAAGUUUUGUUCUUGAUCACCCCCAAGAGGUAUAUAGAUGUCAUUUUUCAGGUGUGUUUUUUUUGUUCACAUAGUUUUUGUCUCCAACUUUUUUAGUAGUAGAAAGGGAGUCUAGUUGCCUCCAUGUGAUCACGAGGUCACAAGUUCAAGUCGUGGAAACAAGCUCUUGCAGAAAUGUAGCCAGGGUAAGGUUGCAUACAGUAGAUCCUUGUAGUCCGGUCCAUUCCUGGAACUUGCACGUAUAGCGGAAACUUUAGUACACCGGGCUUCUUUACACCUCUUGAUCACCUCAAGAGGUGUAAAGAUGACAUCUUGAGUUUUGUCUUUUUGUUCACAUAAUUAGUCUCCAGCUUUUUUCCAUCUGUUCUCUUAGCUAAAAAGUGCCCUCAUUUAAGACAAAUUCAUCUACAUCACAUAGCUUAUGUAAUCCUCUUUUGCUUUACUCACCUAAUUCUUGUUUUUUCCUAGUACAUUUGCUAUUUUCUACUGAUCAAAAACUUACUUGGGGUUUUCUUAAAGAUCUUGUUUUUAUUUGGUCUUUGUCGGAAAUAGCCUCUCUACCUCAUUUCUGAGGUACCGGUACGGUCUGCGUACACUCAGAAUACACCGGCUAUGUUGUUGUUUAUUUGAUGUUUUGGUUAAACCAAGAUUGAAAAAUGAAGUAUUACUUUUGUAACAGAAAGUUCACUGUAGAUUCUUGUUGUGGUGGGGUCUUAAUUGAGUUAUUGUUUUUUUGUUGUUUAGUCUUUCUAAGCAAUCUUGGUUGUAACGCAUUGCAUUGUGCUUUUGCCACUAAAGUAUCAUUAAUGUCAUCAUGUCGGUUUGUUUCGGUUUUAUUAUUAUAAUACUAGAGGCGGAGCCAGGAUUUUUAGUUUACGGAUGUUGGAUCUGAAUUCUGAAUAAAUUUUUUAUACAUAUUAAAUAUAAUUUUUGACACACCCCUGACACGGGUUACGUAAAAGGUUAGUAGGUAGUAGGUUAUCUCUUUUUCCGAACUGCUUUAUGCUGUUUUUCCUUGAGCCGAGGGUCUAUCGGAAACAACCUCCGAGGUAGGGGUAAGGUUUGCGUGCACUCUACCCUCGCCGACCUCACUUACUGAGAUUACGUUGGGUAUGUUGUUGUUGUUGUUGUUGGCUCCACCCCGGACUAUAUUAGGUGAAGAGGUUUGAAAACUUAGGAGUGGUAACGUUAUGAUGUUGAAAAGUUAGGUGAUUCAUUGACUUUUUUAGUAUGUCAUUCUCACUUAUCAGUGAGAUUAUACUAAUUGUUACAAUAUAAAAUUUUGUUAGGUAAAUUGGAUAAGAUUAAGUGUUGCCACUUCUACUAAUUACACUAGUUUAUUUGUUGGUUGAUUACAGUUGAAAAUUUUCCCAUCUGCCGAAUCAACUGCAAUGGCUGAACGUGUUCUGACUCGUGUUCAUAGCCUUCGUGAACGUGUUGACGCUACUUUGGCCGCUCAUCGCAAUGAGAUACUGCUGUUUCUUUCGAGGUAUUAGCCUAUGGCAUGUUCUUGUUUCCUAGAAAAGAUUCGGUCAUCGUGUAAAUAACUCUAGGUGAUUUCUUUCCAUUUGCCUGAGUGUGUGUGUUGGUGAAUAUAGUUUCUCGAUAUUUGUGCUAGUGGGAGGUAGUAAACGUAUUCGUUCUGUAUGCGAUGUAAAGGAAUAUGUAUGUGAUGUAUUAUUAUACUGGUUUUGGUUAUUACAGGAUCGAAAGCCACGGAAAAGGGAUCUUGAAACCUCACCAGCUUUUGGCUGAGUUUGACGCAAUUCGCGAAGAUGACAAAAGCAAGCUGAAUGAACAUGCGUUUGAAGAUCUCCUGAAAUCCACUCAGGUAAUUUGUUUUUGUCUAUACAUCUCACCGACCUAAUAUCUGUUAUAAUUUUGAGUUUUUGUAUGAAUAUUACUACGAUACGUUAUACUAGGAAGCGAUAGUUCUGCCCCCUUGGGUUGCACUUGCCAUUCGUUUGAGGCCUGGUGUCUGGGAAUACGUCCGUGUGAAUGUCAACGCGCUAAUCGUCGAGGAGCUGACUGUCCCUGAGUAUUUGCAAUUCAAGGAAGAACUUGUCGAUGGAGCGUAAGUUUCACUCUUUUAUGUGUUGCAGAAUAGGCUAUAAUGAAUUCAUUGUUCAAUGUUUAAGUGUAUGUUUUGUGCCCUGAUGCAGCGCCAAUGGAAAUUUCGUUCUCGAGUUGGAUUUCGAACCUUUCACCGCAUCCUUUCCUAAACCAACUCUCACCAAAUCUAUCGGAAAUGGAGUUGAAUUCCUCAAUCGGCACCUCUCUGCCAAAAUGUUCCACGACAAGGAAAGCAUGACCCCGCUUCUCGAAUUUCUUCGUGCUCACCAUUACAAGGGCAAGGUAACUUGUUAGUCUCAUUUGUUGAUCGGUUUAGUUUGUUCACACCACUAUACGUAUUAGGAUAAUCACUCAGACACGUAUUAGGAUUUGGCUUCACCGUUAAAUAUUUAUAGAUAUUUAGUGAAUUUCUAAGUAACAAAUACAAGAUCCAGCUAAAAACUACUUGGUUGACGUCAACUCUGCAGUCACUAGCAACUGAAUCAUUACCGAAUGACUGAUGAAAAUAUGUUCUUUAUGAUUCCCGUACAGACAAUGAUGCUGAACGACAGAAUACAGAAUUCGGAUACUCUUCAAAAUGUCCUAAGGAAGGCGGAGGAAUACCUCAUUAUGCUUCCCCCGGACACUCCAUAUUACGAAUUCGAACACAAGUUCCAAGAAAUCGGAUUGGAGAAGGGAUGGGGGGACACAGCGGAGCGUGUGCUACAGAUGGUAUGCAUGCUUCUUGAUCUCCUUGAGGCUCCCGACUCAUGUACUCUUGAGAAGUUCUUGGGAAGAAUUCCGAUGGUGUUUAACGUGGUUAUCCUUUCCCCUCACGGAUAUUUCGCCCAAGAAAACGUCUUGGGUUAUCCCGAUACUGGUGGCCAGGUGCAUUUCCUAAAUCGUUAGUCGUUAUUGCUAAUUAUCUUUCGAAUGCUCGAUUUCGUGAAUGCUAAGGUCUUUCACCCCUGAUGUUUAGGUUGUCUACAUAUUAGAUCAAGUUCCCGCCUUGGAGCGUGAAAUGCUUAAGCGCAUGAAGGAGCAAGGACUUGAUAUCAUACCGCGUAUUCUUAUUGUUAGUAUUUCCUGUACUUGUAUAUUCUGAGGAGCGAGUAUUAUAUAUACAUAAUUUCUCGUUGUUUCGACAACUGAUCUUGCCGUUAUUCCCAGGUUACUCGACUGCUGCCUGAUGCAGUUGGAACCACUUGCGGUCAGCGUCUUGAGAAGGUGUAUGGAACAGAACACUCGCAUAUACUUAGGGUCCCUUUUAGAACUGAGAAGGGCAUCGUUCGCAAAUGGAUCUCUCGUUUUGAAGUGUGGCCAUACAUGGAGACUUUCAUCGAGGUGACAAAAGCUUCAUUGUAUUCGUCUUAUCUUCCGAUACGUAUCUGGAACAAUUUACUAAUUAGUAUAAAACUGAUUUUUCAUACAUCAGGAUGUUGCGAAAGAAGUUUCUGCAGAACUGCAGGCCAAGCCAGAUUUGAUAAUCGGCAACUACAGCGAGGGCAAUCUUGCUGCUUCUUUGCUUGCUCACAAGUUAGGCGUAACGCAGGUCUGUGGGUGUUUUCACCUCUUAUAUAUCUGAUUGCAUUUCCAUUAGUUUGGAGCUAAGAGUACUAACGUUUUUCUUUUUCACCGUGUUCUUUGCCUUCUGCAGUGCACCAUCGCCCACGCGUUGGAGAAAACGAAGUAUCCUGAUUCCGAUAUCUACUGGAAAAAGUUUGACGAAAAAUACCAUUUCUCGUCCCAGUUUACAGCUGAUCUUAUUGCGAUGAAUCACACCGAUUUCAUCAUCACAAGCACCUUUCAGGAGAUAGCAGGAAGGUACAAACAUUAACAUGCUUUCGUUGAACACCGUUGUAUUCAUUUUUUCCCGUGCUUAAUCCUAAAUCCUUGUCGAUUUUUUUCAGCAAGGACACUGUGGGACAGUAUGAGAGCCAUAUGGCAUUCACGAUGCCUGGAUUGUACAGAGUUGUUCACGGCAUUGAUGUGUUCGACCCCAAAUUCAACAUUGUCUCACCUGGAGCUGAUGUUAACCUCUACUUCCCGUACUCUGAGACGGAAAAGAGACUUACAGCACUUCACCCUGAAAUUGAAGAGCUGCUGUAUAGUGACGUUGAGAAUGACGAACAUCUGUAAGUUUCUACCAUAGUGGUACAGAUUUACGUUGCUUAUGUAGACGAUGUUGUGCUAAACAGGUUGUGCUUUUUGCAGGUGUGUGCUCAAGGACAGGAACAAACCAAUCUUAUUCACGAUGGCUAGAUUGGAUCGUGUGAAGAAUUUAACCGGACUUGUUGAGUGGUACGCGAAGAAUCCACGACUGAGGGCGUUGGUUAACCUUGUUGUAGUUGGUGGAGACCGAAGGAAAGAGUCCAAGGAUUUGGAAGAACAGGCCGAGAUGAAGAAGAUGUAUGAGCUGAUAAAGACUCAUAAUUUGAACGGCCAGUUCCGAUGGAUUUCUUCCCAGAUGAACCGAGUGAGGAAUGGUGAACUCUAUCGAUACAUCGCUGAUACUAAGGGAGCUUUCGUGCAGCCUGCAUUCUACGAGGCUUUUGGUCUGACCGUUGUUGAAGCCAUGACCUGUGGUUUGCCUACAUUUGCAACUAAUCACGGUGGUCCAGCUGAGAUCAUCGUUCAUGGAAAGUCCGGUUUCCACAUUGAUCCAUAUCACGGUGAGCAAGCUGCUGAUCUGCUAGCCGAUUUCUUUGAGAAAUGUAAGACAGACCCUUCGCAUUGGGAAACCAUUUCAACUGGUGGACUGAAGCGCAUUCAAGAGAAGUAAGCAACUCUUUCUCAACACUAACCAUCGAGACUAAUUCAAGAUUUCAGGCAUAGUUGAUUGAUGUUUUAUCGUGUCUUUACUACAGGUACACGUGGCAAAUCUACUCGGAGAGGCUGUUGACACUGGCAGCUGUUUACGGGUUCUGGAAGCAUGUUUCCAAGCUUGAUCGUCUAGAAAUCCGUCGCUAUCUUGAAAUGUUUUACGCUCUCAAGUACCGCAAGAUGGUGAGUUCUUCUACCUGCGUUUUCGCCUAGUGUUUACGACGCGAUUACAUUCUCUUAGAGAGGUUUUUUCUUUGGUUUUUCUUUUAGGCUGAAGCUGUUCCAUUGGCUGCUGAGUGAAUGAAGGUGUGCCUGUUGGUUGAAUAAACAAGAAGAGGCUUCUGGUUUUAAUUUUCUGUCUAGUGUUUUUGUUUGCCAACUACCUCCCCACGCAACCCCCACCCCACCCCCCUUUCUUUGUACUUCUGUUUUGGUCUACAUUUUGUUCUGCCAAUAUUGGUUGGAGAAUUUUAAGUUGUUAGUAUGAAUAAAAAAGAUCAAAUUUCAAUCUGUUUAAUUCAGCUUUCUUUUAUCAUGAGUAAUGCUAGAAUAGAAGGGAAGCCUCGGCGCAACAGUAAAGUUGUCUUCGUGUAAUUUAUAGGUAACUGGUUCGAGUUGUGGGAAAAGCCACUAGUGAUUUUAUUAGUGUACGCGGUCUAUAUCACACACAUCUUGGGGUGCGGCUCUUCCCCGGACUCUUCUAACGCGGGAUAAUCUAUAUCACACCUCUUGGGGUGCGGUUCUUCCCCGGACUCUACUAACACGGACUCUACUAACACGGGAUAAUCUAUAUCACACCUCUUGGGGUGCGGCUCUUCCCUGGACUCUACUAACGCGGG
RNAcentral lists this long non-coding RNA (23629 nucleotides) under Capsicum annuum. RNAcentral describes it as "long non-coding RNA (CANN_LNC013409)". Lineage: Eukaryota; Viridiplantae; Streptophyta; Magnoliopsida; Solanales; Solanaceae. The record is from RNAcentral.